UACGGAGGGUGCAAGCGUUGUCCGGAAUCACUGGGCGUAAAGGGCGCGUAGGCGGCUCAUGAAGGCUGUGGUGAAAGUCCGGGGCUCAACCUCGGAUCGGCCGUGGCGACUCGUGGGCUGGAGCACUGUAGAGGCGGGUGGAAUUCCGGGUGUAGCGGUGGAAUGCGUAGAGAUCCGGAAGAACACCAGUGGCGAAGGCGCCGCUGGGCAGUGGCUGACGCUGAGGCGCGACAGCGUGGGGAGCAAACAGG
RNAcentral lists this ribosomal RNA (251 nucleotides) under uncultured bacterium. RNAcentral's name for it is "partial 16S ribosomal RNA". It matches the Rfam family "Bacterial small subunit ribosomal RNA", at positions 524 to 776 of the family's 1533-position model. The record is from RNAcentral.